Molecule: ribosomal RNA, 348 nt
Filed under: Triticum aestivum (bread wheat)
Lineage: Eukaryota; Viridiplantae; Streptophyta; Magnoliopsida; Poales; Poaceae
Description: partial small subunit ribosomal RNA
Source: RNAcentral
AUGCUACCGCGCUGCUGCUGGUUUCGAUGUUUGGGCGGGACCACCAUCAUCUCCCCUGCCGCGCGUCGCGCCGUCUCUCCGGUAGCGCUUGGGGGCUCGACUUCGUCCCGCCCCCGGAGCGGCCGUGCGGGACGGCGCGCCCUCGUCCUCGUCGUCGGCCUCUUCGUCAUCACCGUUGCGACGCCGGCCAUCCGUCCAUGCGCGCCGCGCGCGGGGCCUCGCUUCGGUCGGCCGCCUCCACCCACGUGCCGCUCGUGUAUGCUUCCCUCUGCGUUGCGCCUUGCUUCGGCCGACACACAAGCGCGCCUUCGCUCCUCCAUAUACCAUCUUUGCAAGCUAGCUAUAUGA